CUCCUAGGCUCAAGUGAUCCUCCCACCUUGACCUCCCAACAUGCUGGGAUUACAGGCAUGAGCCACCAUGCCUGGUCUGUAUUUUGAAGUGGAGUGCUCAGCUCUUCACUCAGUCUCAUUAGGAGAACCCAGAAGCCUUGUCGUGAGGAAACUCAAGAAGCCCCACGGUGAGGUCCGCGUCAUAAGGAAUCAAAUCAAACCCCCCUGCCAACAGCCAGCUCAGACACGCCAGCCGCGCCAGCGAGCCAUUUUGGAAUAAAACCCUCCAGUCACAGUCAAGCCUCAAACGACUACAGCCCCAGCCAACAUCUUGACUGAAACCUUCUGAGAGAACCCUGAGCCAAAACCACAAGGCUAAGCUGGUCACAAAAUUCCUGACCAACUGAAACUGUGUGGGAUAAUAAAGGUUUAAUUUUUUUAAGCCGCUAAA
Molecule: long non-coding RNA, 430 nt
Organism: Microcebus murinus (gray mouse lemur)
Lineage: Eukaryota; Metazoa; Chordata; Mammalia; Primates; Cheirogaleidae
Source: RefSeq, a predicted model, not a curated record